Molecule: long non-coding RNA, 2129 nt
Filed under: Rattus norvegicus (Norway rat)
Lineage: Eukaryota; Metazoa; Chordata; Mammalia; Rodentia; Muridae
Description: long non-coding RNA NONRATT005870
Source: RNAcentral
CCAGAUUCCACAGGUAGCAGUCGCGCUACGGAGGCCGGGUGGCCCGAAGAGGGAAACCCGUGAGGUGGAGUAGCAUGAGCUGGAGCCAUACAGAAUCUGCAGGAAGACCCUCGGGGGAUCUGAGGAAAAGAAUAUUUAGACUCUCCAAGGUCUUCCUUCACAUAGCUGUUAAAUCCAAGGCAACUGUGGAAGCAUGGAUAUUGGUACAUCUUCUGCACGGUCCUCCAGCCCACUUGAAAGGGAUCCUGCCUUUCGGGUGAUUACAGUGGCUAAGGAAACAGGUCUAGGUCUGAAGAUCCUAGGCGGCAUUGAUAGGAAUGAAGGACCAUUGGUGUAUAUUCACGAAGUCACUCCUGGAGGCGACUGUUACAAGGUGGGAAUCUCCGUUGGAGAUAGCAUUUAUCAGACAGAAGUCUUACUGUGGUCAUCCAGGAAACAUUUGCUGUCAGUCCCCACCAGUGUCAGAAGACUGUGAACCUCAAACCUCAGCAUUUAAUCUUCUUUCCUCUCCCGCUGGAACACUACUUCCAAAGACUUCAUCCACUCCCAGGACUCAGGACUCCAUUUUACCCUCCUGUACAGUAAUUCAGACUCAACCUGAGCACAGUCAAGCAGGGCUUGCUCCAGUUCCUUCUUUGAACAACCGCCCUACAGACACAUCCAAUGCAGACAUUGCUCCAGCCUGGACUGAUGACGCUUCUGGACCACAAGGAAAGAUUUCCCUAAAUCCUUCUGCUCGCCUUAAGGCAGAGAAACUGGAAAUGGCUCUCAAUUACCUCGGUAUACAGCCAACAAAGGAACAGCAUGAAGCCCUGAGACAGCAAGUCCAGGCCGACUCAGAGGGGACUGUGUCUUUUGGGGAUUUCGUCCAGGUUGCCAGAAAUUUGUUCUGCUUGCAGUUGGAUGAAGUAAAUGUUGGUGACCAUGAACUCCCCAGCGUCUUGGACUCACAGCUUCUCCCCUGUGGUUCUCUAGAAGCAGAUGAAGUGGGAAGACUGAGACAAGAAAGAAAUGCUGCUCUGGAAGAACGGGAUGCGCUUAAGGAGAAAUUACUCGAAUCAGAGAAGCACAGGAAACAGUUGAUAGAAGAACUCCAGAAUGUGAAACAGGUAAGUCUAUCCAGGAAAGUGUCCAAGACUUGAGAAAGAGAGUCACAGUUCUUGACUGCCAAUUGCGAAAAUCAGAAAUGGCUCGGAAAACAUUUAAGUCAUCCACUGAAAGGCUCCUUCGUUUUGUAGAGGCUAUUCAAGAAGUACUUUUGGACAGUUGUGCUCCUUUAUCAAAUUUAAGUGAAAGAAGAGCUGUGCUUGCCUCUCAGACCUCGCUUCCGCUGCUGGGAAGGAACGGACGUAACUUCCCAGCACCCCUGCUUCUGGAAUCCAAGGAACUUCUUAGGUCUGUCCGUGCCGUACUUGAUAUGGACUGCUUACCUUACGGGUGGGAGGAAGCUUACACAGCAGAUGGGAUCAAGUACUUCAUCAACCAUGUGACACAGACCACGUCCUGGAUCCACCCCAUGAUGAGUGUCCUGAACCUGUCCUGCGCAGAGGAGAGUGAAGAGGACUGUCCCAGAGAACUAAGGGAACCGAAAAGCUGAUGAGUUUCCACGGGCAACGGAGCUCCAGAGACUUCCGACUUUUCAAUAUAUAUGCACAACCAGACGAACGACACCACAACUGAGACACAGGACUCCAGCACAUGCUACCAGGCCGGGUGUCGAGUUGAAACCGUGGUAUUUUUGUGUACAUGCUAAGGAUCAGUUGCCACUGUAGUAGUUGUUUGAAAAUAAUCUAGUCAUAUAUAGUCAGAUUUUAUAUGCAUAUGUCUUCUCAUUUAUACUUAGAUCUUUAUAAUUCAAUGUAUAGUUCCUUGUUUGGUAUAAGAUACAAUGGUUCGUACAGCAACACUUUAUAUUGAAAAGUUAUAUGAACAUAGCGAACAUUCUUGAUAACUCCCCCUCUCUCCUCACAGCGUAGGAAAGAAUUCUGAGGAAGCUAGGGGAGGGCGCCCAACCCUAUCCCAUUAGCUGCUGAUUGCAACUCUUGGGUUUUGGGGUGUUUUUUUUUUUACCAGUGCCUCAUAGGACACCACGUGACAUAUCAUUAGGAAACUUCUAUCGUUUAUAAAAA